UACGUAGGGGUCUAGCGUUGUCCGGAAUCAUUGGGCGUAAAGAGCUCGUAGGCGGUUCGGCAAGUCGGAUGUGAAAUCUCCACGCUCAACGUGGAGGGGCCAUUCGAAACUGCCGUGACUUGAGUCCGGUAGGGGAGUGCGGAAUUCCCGGUGUAGCGGUGAAAUGCGCAGAUAUCGGGAGGAACACCAGUGGCGAAGGCGGCACUCUGGGCCGGAAUUGACGCUGAGGAGCGAAAGCGUGGGGAGCGAACAGG
This 254-nucleotide ribosomal RNA is filed under the name uncultured bacterium. Its description in RNAcentral is "partial 16S ribosomal RNA". It matches the Rfam family "Bacterial small subunit ribosomal RNA", at positions 524 to 776 of the family's 1533-position model. The record is from RNAcentral.